AAGGAUUAUAUUUAAAAUUAAAAUAUUUGGCGGCUAUUUAUAUUAAAGGGAUUUGCUUUUUAUCGAUUUACCUCGUUUAUUAUUAUUUAGUUUAUUUUUGUAUACCGUCAUUUAGAUAAUUUUUAUAAAAUUAAUUAUGGUAAUAAUUUAAUAUAUAUUAGAUCAAGGUGCAGAUAUAAUUAAUUUAUAGUUAAUGACAAUAAUUUAUUAUUAUACAGAAUUUAUGUAAUUGGUUUAAAUAGGAGGAUUUAAUUGUAAUAAAAAAUAUUUGAAAUUAGGAUUAGUAGUGUACACAUCGCCCGCACCUCUC
Molecule: ribosomal RNA, 310 nt
Filed under: Niphargus spoeckeri
Lineage: Eukaryota; Metazoa; Arthropoda; Malacostraca; Amphipoda; Niphargidae
Description: partial 12S ribosomal RNA
Source: RNAcentral